Molecule: ribosomal RNA, 226 nt
Filed under: uncultured bacterium
Lineage: Bacteria
Description: partial 16S ribosomal RNA
Rfam family: Bacterial small subunit ribosomal RNA
Source: RNAcentral
AGUAAUACAUCGGAACGUGUCUUCUAGUGGGGGAUAACUGCCCGAAAGGGCAGCUAAUACCGCAUGAGACCUGAGGGUGGAAAGCGGGGGGAGUCGCGAAGACCUCGCGCUGGAAGAGCGGCAGAUGUCCGAUUAGCUAGUUGGUGAGGUAAAGGCUCACCAAGGCGACGAUCGGUAGCUGGUCUGAGAGGACGACCAGCCACACUGGGACUGAGACACGGCCCUG